CUAAGGAUCGUCCUUCAUCGGCUUGCCGAUAUCGGACUUUCAUAGAACAAGAUUGGCUUAGUCAAAGCCAGUCGAAGACUAAAUGCGGAACUCUCGCCGCCUUCGUUUCUCUUUCUUCACAAACACGCAGACGUUGUCUGUUUGACUUGAUGACUGGUUCAUCGGGUUGCAAACAACGUCUUUGAUGUACCGGCUAGCCUUGAGUUUACGCCGAUCUCGUUUCAAACGAGAUGCUGGACUUGCCUGACUGCAGUGUCAGUCGUCGAGUUCCGGUCCAGGCGGAUGCCUGGUGGCCCGUAGCUCAGGUGGUUAGAGCGCACGCCUGAUAAGCGUGAGGUCGACAGUUCGAGUCUGUCCGGGCCAACCAAAACUGGUUCGGUUAGAGAGAAUGGGGCCUUAGCUCAGCUGGGAGAGCGCCUGCUUUGCAAGCAGGAUGUCGUCGGUUCGAUCCCGUCAGGCUCCACCACUUUCCUUAAAGUGGUGACACCAUUUCUUCUUUGAUUUGGUAGAGCAGGCGAUCGCCGGUUCCCAAGGUACAUAGCGUGUGAGAGCAAAGAGACAAGUUUGCUGAUCCUUAGCCUGCGAAGGCUGGAUUGGCGGAUCUUUCGACAUUGUAAAGAGAUGCUCUUUUGUCCCGUUUGACCCGCACCCCGGGGAGGAACAAGAGAAGCACGUGAAUUCUGGUUAAUUUGAUCUGACCGAUCAAAACGCUGACGCAAUAUGCGUCGGCAGCCACUGCAGUGAUUGCAGUGGCAUUUCACAAUCCCGACGACCAGACACACAGCUUCAAGAGGGCUGGGUGUCGCUAACGUUGCGGGCAUUGAUAAUGAGAACG
This 835-nucleotide transfer RNA is filed under the name uncultured bacterium. Its description in RNAcentral is "16S-23S ribosomal RNA intergenic spacer". The stretch from base 291 to 364 matches the Rfam family "tRNA". The record is from RNAcentral.